This 829-nucleotide long non-coding RNA is filed under the name Callithrix jacchus (white-tufted-ear marmoset). Its description in RNAcentral is "lncRNA (ENSCJAG00000064377.2)". Lineage: Eukaryota; Metazoa; Chordata; Mammalia; Primates; Cebidae. The record is from RNAcentral.
AUGGGACAAACACCUUCAUCCCAGCAUCCCAGUAUCCCAGCAUUCCAGCAUUCAAGCUCCAGCUGGGGCUCAGAAAGAGCAGAAGGAUAUAAGGUCCCUGCCUCAGUGUCUCUGUCCUUACUUUCAGUGGAUCUUUUCUCCAUCUUAUUUUUCCUUCUCUUGCCACAGGUAAAACUAAUAUGGUAUACUGUUUGGUUGUUCUUGUGGUUUUUUUAAGUAAGCUUUUAAAUUUUUAAUAAUUUUAGGUUAAUGAAAAAGUUACAAAGAGAAUACAGAGAGAUCCUGUAUACCUUCACUUGACUAUCCUUCAUUUACAUUAUGUGAUACACUGGUCAUGUUAAGAUACCAACUUCAGUACAUUACAUUAAAAACUCCAUACUUUAUUUGGAUUUCUCCAGUUUUUCCACAAAUGCCCUCUUUUCUUUCUUUCUUCUUUUUUUUGUGAGACAGGGCUAUCAAUUUGUCUCCCAGGCUGAAGUGCAAUAGCACAAUCACAGCUCACUGCAGCGUCUACCUCCUCGGCUCAAGCCAUCCUCCCACCUCAGCCUCUCCAGUAGCUGGGACUACAGGCACAUGCCACCAUGCCCAGCUAAUUUUUCUAUUUUUUGUAUAGAUGGAGUGCUGGGAUUACAGACAUGAGCCACCAUGCCGAGCACACAAAUGUCCUUUUUAUGUUCCAAUAUCCCAUCAAAGGUACCACACUGCAUUUGGUUAUCAUGUCUCUUUAGGCUCCCCCAAGAUGUGAAAGUUUCUUUGUCUUCUUUUCAUUUUCAGGACUUUUACAGUUUUGAGGAGGACUGGUCGGGUAUUUUGUAGUUUCCCUCCAAUG